RNAcentral lists this ribosomal RNA (370 nucleotides) under Askenasia sp. RNAcentral describes it as "partial small subunit ribosomal RNA". It matches the Rfam family "Eukaryotic small subunit ribosomal RNA", at positions 587 to 975 of the family's 1831-position model. The record is from RNAcentral. Lineage: Eukaryota; Ciliophora; Litostomatea; Cyclotrichida; Mesodiniidae.
AGCUCCAAUAGCGUAUAUUAAAGUUGUUGCAGUUAAAAAGCUCGUAGUUGAACUUCUUGGCAUCCUUUAAGCUGGCUUCGGUCGUUUCAAGGGUGUCAAUCCGCUAGGGAACUACAUUCGCACUUCACUGUGCGGUGUAAGGAACUGGCAUUUUACUUAGAAAAAAUUAGAGUGUUCAAGGCAGGCUAUCGCCCUGAAUACACAAGCUUGGAAUAAUGAAAUAGGACUAUUUCCAUUUUAUUGGUUAUUGGAUUUAGUAAUGAUUAAUAGGGACAGUUGGGGGCAUUUGUAUUUAAUAGUCAGAGGUGAAAUUCUUGGAUUUAUUAAAGACAAACUUAUGCGAAAGCAUUUGCCAAGGAUGUUUUCAUUA